RNAcentral lists this ribosomal RNA (468 nucleotides) under uncultured bacterium. RNAcentral's name for it is "partial 16S ribosomal RNA". It matches the Rfam family "Bacterial small subunit ribosomal RNA", at positions 28 to 507 of the family's 1533-position model. The record is from RNAcentral.
GACGAACGCUGGCGGCGUGCUUAACACAUGCAAGUCGAACGGAAAGGUCCUGCUUUUGUGGGGUGCUCGAGUGGCGAACGGGUGAGUAACACGUGAGUAACCUGCCCUUGACUUUGGGAUAACUUCAGGAAACUGGGGCUAAUACCGGAUAGGAGCUCCUGCUGCAUGGUGGGGGUUGGAAAGUUUCGGCGGUUGGGGAUGGACUCGCGGCUUAUCAGCUUGUUGGUGGGGUAGUGGCUUACCAAGGCUUUGACGGGUAGCCGGCCUGAGAGGGUGACCGGCCACAUUGGGACUGAGAUACGGCACAGACUCCUACGGGAGGCAGCAGUGGGGAAUAUUGCACAAUGGGCGGAAGCCUGAUGCAGCAACGCCGCGUGCGGGAUGACGGCCUUCGGGUUGUAAACCGCUUUCGCCUGUGACGAAGCGUGAGUGACGGUAAUGGGUAAAGAAGCACCGGCUAACUACGUG